RNAcentral lists this microRNA precursor (82 nucleotides) under Aedes aegypti (yellow fever mosquito). RNAcentral describes it as "microRNA aae-mir-2942 precursor". Lineage: Eukaryota; Metazoa; Arthropoda; Insecta; Diptera; Culicidae. The record is from miRBase by way of RNAcentral.
AAUGUUAUCAAUUCGCUGUGGUCUCGAACGUACCUACAUUGGAUAUUUUUGGUAUUCGAGACUUCACGAGUUAAUUCCCAUU